UCCAUCCUUUCUAUUCUGAGUUUAGCACAUUGGGAUCGACGUGUCAGCCUCUUCUCUUCCUCUCCCUCUACAUCUUUGUCUCUCUCCCUCUUUCUUUUUCUCUUUCUUUCUCUUUCUUUCCUUUUCUUCCUCUCACGGGCUUAGGCAAGCUGCGGCGCGACGAGGCGGCGUUGGUGACCUGACGAUGACCUCACCGACUACGACGACCGCGAAUGGCUGCUGGGAGGAGGAUGUAGAGGUGGUUGGUAGGCCCAGGUGUGGGGCCCAUGGAUGGCAAGCCUGGUUUGGCUGGCCAACUUUAGCCAUUCCAGCAGCUCAUUUGGCCAGCGAGUGGCCUAGCCAUCCAAAUGGAGAGUUUGUUGGAUUUUUUUUUUUGUUAUGUUUACUAUUUUUUUUAGUUUGGAGAGUGGAAUUAUCAUGUUGUUGGAGAUGCUCUAGUAUCCUCUGCUGGGGAACAACAAGCAAUCAAAUUACUAGUCCAAUGACUGUUCGUUUCCUCUGGCCGUGGUGGCA
RNAcentral lists this long non-coding RNA (513 nucleotides) under Oryza brachyantha (malo sina). RNAcentral's name for it is "long non-coding RNA (OBRA_LNC002293)". The record is from RNAcentral. Lineage: Eukaryota; Viridiplantae; Streptophyta; Magnoliopsida; Poales; Poaceae.